UAUCUAUCUAUCUCUUAGGUUUAUGGCGUUUCCUUUUAGAUUUCGCCAAUGUCAAGUGUAUUUAAUACUCUGCUUUCUAUAGCGGGCUUCGUGAACGAGCAAGGUCACAGAUAUCUGAUUAAAACUAUUAUUAUUUUCACCUUUCAAAUACUUGACAGUUUUCGUGAUGACGGACGUCUCAACGGAAAUAGCGUAAUGACAAUUAUAAGGACGAAAUAGUAAGAAGGGGAGGAGUCCUUCGGCUUGAUGAAGAUGAAUCGGUGCAGACAUGAAAGAGCGCUAUCUCACGUUUCACACCUGCUCCUGCUAAAUUUUUCACAGAAGUCGAACACCGCCCGUCACGAUUCGUCGCUGUCAACUAUCAUAGCCACGACGCUGACAGCUAUAAGUCUGUCCAGACUUACGUGACCAGGACACGGCAAAGCGCCAACCCAUGUGAAGCGGACUAAGUGUCCUCCGCCAUGCUUCCACCUUAUUAGGAAUAAUAUGGCCUGGUAAGCAUGGGGAACUGUUGUAUUAAAAAAUUGUUUAACUUAAUAAAUUUCGUUCUAUUUGGAAA
This is a long non-coding RNA of Bombyx mori (domestic silkworm), 559 nucleotides long. RefSeq lists it as uncharacterized. The record is from RefSeq and is a predicted model, not a curated record. NCBI's taxonomy places the organism in Eukaryota, Metazoa, Arthropoda, Insecta, Lepidoptera, Bombycidae. The transcript is spliced from 2 exons.